UCCGACCCAAUAUGAUAAAUGUUGUAUGUGGUUCUUGUAUCGUGUAUUGCGUAUCAUGGGUUUGCAUUGACUGCAUGGCCACGCCCACACUCCCCUCGCACCCACGGUUCCGACCAGCACUUAGCUCCACUGGAGACGGAGUUGUUAUGAGUACAGGCUAGAUGGAGGUUAAGUAUGUUUCAGUGUGGAUCAUUGGUGACAGCUAUGUCCAGCAUGGUGGCCAGAGAGCUGCAGAGAGCUUAGGAAGCAGCUUCACUCUCCUGGAUGUCUCUUAGUCUGCAGGCUUCUCCCCUUCUUUUCCCCUCCCUGCGAAGAAUUGCAGCAGUGGAUGUUCUCAUCAGCAUGACGUGUGACGGCCUCUGUCAGAAUACAGGAUAUAAAAGUUCCACCUUCCAUCGUGGCUGGCUGUCUUCCCUGACAGCACCUGCACUCUGCUGCUUUGCUGAACAAUUGUUUUUACUUUUACUCCACAACACCUUAUCCCACAGCAUAUGAACACUACUGAUUUAAAAUGUAAAAUUAUGACGCUGACUUCCUAAGCAUAGGUUCCAUUAUUAUAAUUACUGUUACAACUGUCACACAUUUAUUAAAGUGUAUUAACUGUA
Micropterus dolomieu (smallmouth bass) is the source of this 605-nucleotide long non-coding RNA. RefSeq lists it as uncharacterized. Lineage: Eukaryota; Metazoa; Chordata; Actinopteri; Centrarchiformes; Centrarchidae. The record is from RefSeq and is a predicted model, not a curated record. The transcript has 3 exons.